This 448-nucleotide ribosomal RNA is filed under the name uncultured bacterium. RNAcentral describes it as "bacterial SSU rRNA". It matches the Rfam family "Bacterial small subunit ribosomal RNA", at positions 355 to 825 of the family's 1533-position model. The record is from RNAcentral.
UCGGGAAUUUUGGGCAAUGGGCGAAAGCCUGACCCAGCAACGCCGCGUGAAGGAUGAAGUAUUUCGGUAUGUAAACUUCGUAAGAAUAGGAAGAAUAAAUGACGGUACUAUUUGUAAGGUCCGGCUAACUACGUGCCAGCAGCCGCGGUAAUACGUAGGGACCAAGCGUUGUUCGGAUUUACUGGGCGUAAAGGGCGCGUAGGCGGUGUGUCAAGUCAGUUGUGAAAUCUCCGAGCUUAACUCGGAACGGUCAACUGAUACUGUCACACUAGAGUACAGAAGGGGCAAUCGGAAUUCUUGGUGUAGGCGGUGAAAUGCGUAGAUAUCAAGAGGAACACCUGAGGCGAAGGCGGGUUGCUGGGCUGAUACUGACGCUGAGGCGCGAAAGCUAGGGUAGCAAACGGGAUUAGAUACCCUGGUAGUCCCUGAGCGGGCUGGCAAGGCGCAU